UGUACAAAAACAGUCCCACGCUCAUAGGCUAAUCUAUUGAUAAGACGCCGAGUUCUUUCACCGCAGGCAUCACAUGUGAACUGCACCAUCAAACUUCUCCUAGGAAGUGCUAUAUCAAAAGCUGCAUCCUUUACAAUGAUGAAAUAAAAAAGAUUGUGUCAUUUAAAGCAACAAAAAGAGAGGAGAGAAUUGGAAUAAAAGAAAGAAAUACGAAUUUAAUUUAAUUCCCAAUCAAAAACUGCAGUACGAAGUAACUUU
RNAcentral lists this long non-coding RNA (258 nucleotides) under Phoenix dactylifera (date palm). RNAcentral describes it as "long non-coding RNA (PDAC_LNC020777)". The record is from RNAcentral. Lineage: Eukaryota; Viridiplantae; Streptophyta; Magnoliopsida; Arecales; Arecaceae.